This 253-nucleotide ribosomal RNA is filed under the name uncultured bacterium. RNAcentral describes it as "partial 16S ribosomal RNA". It matches the Rfam family "Bacterial small subunit ribosomal RNA", at positions 524 to 776 of the family's 1533-position model. The record is from RNAcentral.
UACGAAGGGGGCUAGCGUUGCUCGGAAUCACUGGGCGUAAAGGGUGCGUAGGCGGGUCUUUAAGUCAGGGGUGAAAUCCUGGAGCUCAACUCCAGAACUGCCUUUGAUACUGAGGAUCUUGAGUUCGGGAGAGGUGAGUGGAACUGCGAGUGUAGAGGUGAAAUUCGUAGAUCUACGAAGGAACGCCAAAAGCGAAGGCAGCUCUCUGGGUCCCUACCGACGCUGGGGUGCGAAAGCAUGGGGAGCGAACAGG